RNAcentral lists this ribosomal RNA (340 nucleotides) under uncultured bacterium. RNAcentral's name for it is "bacterial SSU rRNA". It matches the Rfam family "Bacterial small subunit ribosomal RNA", at positions 30 to 370 of the family's 1533-position model. The record is from RNAcentral.
AUUGAACGCUGGCGGCAUGCCUUACACAUGCAAGUCGAACGGCAGCACGGGAGCUUGCUCCUGGUGGCGAGUGGCGAACGGGUGAGUAAUAUAUCGGAACGUACCCUAGAGUGGGGAUAACGCAGCGAAAGUUGCGCUAAUACCGCAUACGAUCUACGGAUGAAAGUGGGGAUCGCAAGACCUCAUGCUCAUGGAGCGGCCGAUAUCUGAUUAGCUAGUUGGUGAGGUAAAGGCUCACCAAGCCGACGAUCUGUAGCUGGUCUGAGAGGACGACCAGCCACACUGGACUGAGACACGGCCCAGACUACCUACGGGAGGCAGCAGUGGGGAAUUUUGGACG